This 497-nucleotide ribosomal RNA is filed under the name uncultured bacterium. Its description in RNAcentral is "partial 16S ribosomal RNA". It matches the Rfam family "Bacterial small subunit ribosomal RNA", at positions 28 to 507 of the family's 1533-position model. The record is from RNAcentral.
GAUGAACGCUGGCGGCGUGCCUAAUACAUGCAAGUCGAGCGAACAGAUGAGGAGCUUGCUCCUCUGACGUUAGCGGCGGACGGGUGAGUAACACGUGGAUAACCUACCUAUAAGACUGGGAUAACUUCGGGAAACCGGAGCUAAUACCGGAUAAUAUAUUGAACCGCAUGGUUCAAUAGUGAAAGACGGUUUUGCUGUCACUUAUAGAUGGAUCCGCGCCGCAUUAGCUAGUUGGUAAGGUAACGGCUUACCAAGGCAACGAUGCGUAGCCGACCUGAGAGGGGGAGCGGCAACAGUGGAGUUAAGACCGGGCCAGGCCCCCGACGGGGGGCGCAAGAAGGAAUUUUUCAGAAAAGGCGAAAGGCCGGAGGGAGAACGGCGGGGGGAGUAAGAAGGUUUUUCGGUUCGAAAAACUUUGUUAUGGGGAAAAAAAAAAUGUGUAAGUAACUAUGCACGUCUUGAGGGAACCUAAUAAAAAAACCACGGAUACCUACGGG